UUCCAGCACCACACUUUUUGCAACAGCCUAUUAAGCACAAGUUAGCUGUGUGAUUCAGUAUCCUGCACUCUCCUGGAUGACUGCAGCUCCAACAACACUUUAAAAGCUCAACACCAUCCAGGUCAAAGUUGUCCACUUGAUUGGUACCCCAUCCACUAUACUUAGAGUUCUAAAAUGUUUCUUCACUGACGCUGGGAAAGAAAUCCUGGAACUCUCUCCCUCAUUGCAAUGUGCGUGUAUCCACACUAACUGUACUGCAGUGGGACAGGAUGACAGCUCACCAUCACCAUCUGGGGCAAUCAGAGAUGGGUUCCAUAUUUAAGCAUGAAGAAAAGGUGGGACUGUAAUUAAGAACACGAGCCAGAACAUUAAGAGAGUCAAGCCUGAGCUGAAGAGCAAGAAUAAAGUGUGUCUUGAAUAAAGUCGAGUCAUAUAACUAAUUGAACUACAUCUGGAACACAGCACCUUACACUUGCCUUUAAAUAAAAGUUAGGAUCCAGGCUAUCUCCUUGACAUAUUUGAAGGGGUUUGCCACUUGGUCCAGAACAAGUGGCAACAGGGCACCAGCAUGACCCUGGGGGAAAUCUGGCAUUGACAAAACAUGACAGAUUAUCAUGCUUCUGAAGAGCAAUAAGAAAUGAUGCUGCAUCGAGAAAUUGGAGAGAGAAUCGUAAAAUUCUUCCUGCUACCUCAGACGGUUGAUGGAAAUCUACCCCAAAGUUUCUUUAUAAUAUUAAACCCAAUUUGCCAACAUAAAGUUGUUUUGUUAAAUAUGUAGUGAACCCCACCAUGGCUUCUUAGCUUGACAGUAACCAGAAGUGCUUUCAGAUUUUGUACAAUCAAAUAAUUUACUAGGUUUUUUUUACAAAUUGGCCUGCUAUGGGUGGGUAUUGGUAGUGCCCUUCCUCUAG
Hemiscyllium ocellatum (epaulette shark) is the source of this 911-nucleotide long non-coding RNA. RefSeq lists it as uncharacterized. The transcript is spliced from 3 exons. NCBI's taxonomy places the organism in Eukaryota, Metazoa, Chordata, Chondrichthyes, Orectolobiformes, Hemiscylliidae. The record is from RefSeq and is a predicted model, not a curated record.